AACGAACGCUGGCGGCAUGCCUAACACAUGCAAGUCGAACGAGACCUUCGGGUCUAGUGGCGCACGGGUGCGUAACGCGUGGGAACCUGCCCUUAGGUUCGGAAUAACUCCCCGAAAGGGGUGCUAAUACCGGAUAAUGUCUUCGGACCAAAGAUUUAUCGCCUUUGGAUGGGCCCGCGUUGGAUUAGCUAGUUGGUAGGGUAAAAGCCUACCAAGGCGACGAUCCAUAGCUGGUCUGAGAGGAUGAUCAGCCACACUGGGACUGAGACACGGCCCAGACUCCUACGGGAGGCAGAAGUGGGGAAUAUUGGACAAUGGGCGAAAGCCUGAUCCAGCAAUGCCGCGUGAGUGAUGAAGGCCUUAGGGUUGUAAAGCUCUUUUACCCGGGAUGAUAAUGACAGUACCGGGAGAAUAAGCUCCGGCUAACCCCGUG
This 433-nucleotide ribosomal RNA is filed under the name uncultured bacterium. Its description in RNAcentral is "partial 16S ribosomal RNA". It matches the Rfam family "Bacterial small subunit ribosomal RNA", at positions 29 to 507 of the family's 1533-position model. The record is from RNAcentral.